RNAcentral lists this ribosomal RNA (253 nucleotides) under uncultured bacterium. RNAcentral's name for it is "partial 16S ribosomal RNA". It matches the Rfam family "Bacterial small subunit ribosomal RNA", at positions 524 to 776 of the family's 1533-position model. The record is from RNAcentral.
UACGUAGGGUGCAAGCGUUGUCCGGAAUUAUUGGGCGUAAAGAGCUCGUAGGCGGCUCGUCGCGUCGGCUGUGAAAACCUGGGGCUCAACCCCGGGCCUGCAGCCGAUACGGGCGCGCUUGAGGACUGGAGAGGAGUCUGGAAUUCACAGUGGAGCAGUGAAAUGCGUGGAUAUUGUGAGGAACACUAGUGGCGAAGGCGAGACUCUGGACAGUUCCUGACGCUGAGGCACGAAGGCCAGGGGAGCAAACGGG